AAGUCGUAACAAGGUUUCCGUAGGUGAACCUGCGGAAGGAUCAUUAGAAAAUCUGGCUGCAAGCCGCUAUUUUGUGCAACGGACAUUUUACAUGUGGAUAUGACGCGAGGACAGCACGAAAAGAUACAACUUUCAACAGUGGAUCUCUCGGCUCUU
RNAcentral lists this unclassified non-coding RNA (156 nucleotides) under fungal sp. Its description in RNAcentral is "partial internal transcribed spacer region". The stretch from base 1 to 46 matches the Rfam family "Eukaryotic small subunit ribosomal RNA", at positions 1786 to 1831 of the family's 1831-position model. Lineage: Eukaryota; Fungi. The record is from RNAcentral.